Molecule: ribosomal RNA, 967 nt
Filed under: Trigonopterus sp. 756 AR-2022a
Lineage: Eukaryota; Metazoa; Arthropoda; Insecta; Coleoptera; Curculionidae
Also listed under: 1 other name
Description: SSU rRNA
Rfam family: Eukaryotic small subunit ribosomal RNA
Source: RNAcentral
GUCAUAUGCUUGUCUCAAAGAUUAAGCCAUGCAUGUCUCAGUACAAGCCAAAUUAAGGUGAAACCGCGAAAGGCUCAUUAAAUCAGUUAUGGUUCCUUAGAUCGUACCCACAAUUACUUGGAUAACUGUGGUAAUUCUAGAGCUAAUACAUGCAAACAGAGCUCCGACCGGAGACGGAAGGAGUGCUUUUAUUAGAUCAAAACCAAUCGGUGGCGGGUUCGCUCGUCAUCGUACAACUUGGUGAUUCUGAAUAACUUUACGCUGAUCGCACGGUCAUCGCACCGGCGACGCAUCUUUCAAAUGUCUGCCUUAUCAACUGUCGAUGGUAGGUUCUGCGCCUACCAUGGUUGUAACGGGUAACGGGGAAUCAGGGUUCGAUUCCGGAGAGGGAGCCUGAGAAACGGCUACCACAUCCAAGGAAGGCAGCAGGCGCGCAAAUUACCCACUCCCGGCACGGGGAGGUAGUGACGAAAAAUAACGAUACGGGACUCAUCCGAGGCCCCGUAAUCGGAAUGAGUACACUCUAAACCCUUUAACGAGGAUCAAUUGGAGGGCAAGUCUGGUGCCAGCAGCCGCGGUAAUUCCAGCUCCAAUAGCGUAUAUUAAAGUUGUUGCGGUUAAAAAGCUCGUAGUCGAAUUUGUGUCUCGCGCCGCCGGUUCAUCGUCCGCGGUGUUAACUGGCGAGUCGCGAGACGUCCUGCCGGUGGGCUUAGCUCGCGAGGGCGGCCCAACUCAAUCCUGCCGCGGUGCUCUUCAUUGAGUGUCGAGGUGGGCCGGCACGUUUACUUUGAACAAAUUAGAGUGCUUAAAGCAGGCUAAAACUUCGCCUGAAUACUGUGUGCAUGGAAUAAUGGAAUAGGACCUCGGUUCUAUUUUGUUGGUUUUCGGAACCCCGAGGUAAUGAUUAAUAGGAACGGAUGGGGGCAUUCGUAUUGCGACGUUAGAGGUGAAAUUCUUGGAUCGUCGC